This is a transfer RNA of 87 nucleotides. It matches the Rfam family "tRNA". From Rfam's summary of the family: Transfer RNA (tRNA) molecules are approximately 80 nucleotides in length.
GCCCGAGUGGUGAAACUGGUAGACACAAGGGACUUAAAAUCCCUCGACUUCGUGGUCGUGCCGGUUCGAUUCCGGCCUCGGGCACCA